RNAcentral lists this ribosomal RNA (253 nucleotides) under uncultured bacterium. RNAcentral describes it as "partial 16S ribosomal RNA". It matches the Rfam family "Bacterial small subunit ribosomal RNA", at positions 524 to 776 of the family's 1533-position model. The record is from RNAcentral.
UACGUAGGUGGCAAGCGUUGUCCGGAUUUACUGGGCGUAAAGAGCGCGCAGGCGGUCGUUCAAGUCGCGUGUGAAAGCCCCCGGCUCAACUGGGGAGGGUCACGCGAUACUGAUCGACUCGAAGGCAGGAGAGGGUAGUGGAAUUCCCGGUGUAGUGGUGAAAUGCGUAGAUAUCGGGAGGAACACCAGUGGCGAAGGCGAGUCUCUGGGAUGAUGCUGACGCUGAGGCGCGAAAGCCAGGGGAGCAAACGGG